GAGCAGUGACGAUUAUUGUGCUCACAUUGUGAAGUUGGGGUCUUUACAACACUCUGAUAUAAGUGACAAAACGUAGUGCAUUUGAGUUC
Molecule: small nucleolar RNA, 89 nt
Organism: Solanum dulcamara
Lineage: Eukaryota; Viridiplantae; Streptophyta; Magnoliopsida; Solanales; Solanaceae
Product: small nucleolar RNA snoR114
Exons: 1
Source: RefSeq, a predicted model, not a curated record